Molecule: ribosomal RNA, 143 nt
Filed under: Bacillus velezensis
Lineage: Bacteria; Bacillati; Bacillota; Bacilli; Caryophanales; Bacillaceae
Description: partial 23S ribosomal RNA
Rfam family: Bacterial large subunit ribosomal RNA
Source: RNAcentral
CAUGAAGCCCCCCUCAAGAUGAGAUUUCCCAUUCCGCAAGGAAGUAAGAUCCCUGAAAGAUGAUCAGGUUGAUAGGUCUGAGGUGGAAGUGUGGCGACACAUGGAGCUGACAGAUACUAAUCGAUCGAGGACUUAACCAAUUU